GACGAACGCUGGCGGCGUGCUUAACACAUGCAAGUCGAACGGAAAGGCCCUGCUUUUGUGGGGUGCUCGAGUGGCGAACGGGUGAGUAACACGUGAGUAACCUGCCCUUGACUUUGGGAUAACUUCAGGAAACUGGGGCUAAUACCGGAUAGGAGCUCCUGCUGCAUGGUGGGGGUUGGAAAGUUUCGGCGGUUGGGGAUGGACUCGCGGCUUAUCAGCUUGUUGGUGGGGUAGUGGCUUACCAAGGCUUUGACGGGUAGCCGGCCUGAGAGGGUGACCGGCCACAUUGGGACUGAGAUACGGCCCAGACUCCUACGGGAGGCAGCAGUGGGGAAUAUUGCACAAUGGGCGGAAGCCUGAUGCAGCAACGCCGCGUGCGGGAUGACGGCCUUCGGGUUGUAAACCGCUUUCGCCUGUGACGAAGCGUGAGUGACGGUAAUGGGUAAAGAAGCACCGGCUAACUACGUGCCAGCAGCCGCGGUGAUACGUAGGGUGCGAGCGUUGUCCGGAUUUAUUGGGCGUAAAGGGCUCGUAGGUGGUUGAUCGCGUCGGAAGUGUAAUCUUGGGGCUUAACCCUGAGCGUGCUUUCGAUACGGGUUGACUUGAGGAAGGUAGGGGAGAAUGGAAUUCCUGGUGGAGCGGUGGAAUGCGCAGAUAUCAGGAGGAACACCAGUGGCGAAGGCGGUUCUCUGGGCCUUUCCUGACGCUGAGGAGCGAAAGCGUGGGGAGCGAACAGGCUUAGAUACCCUGGUAGUCCACGCUGUAAACGGUGGGUACUAGGUGUGGGGUCCAUUCCACGGGUUCCGUGCCGUAGCUAACGCUUUAAGUACCCCGCCUGGGGAGUACGGCCGCAAGGCUAAAACUCAAAGGAAUUGACGGGGCCUCGCACAAGCGGCGGAGCAUGCGGAUUAAUUCGAUGCAACGCGUAGAACCUUACCUGGGUUUGACAUGGAUCGGGAGUGCUCAGAGAUGGGUGUGCCUCUUUUGGGGUCGGUUCACAGGUGGUGCAUGGCUGUCGUCAGCCCGUGUCGUGAGAUGUUGGGUUAAGUCCCGCAACGAGCGCAACCCUUGUUCACUGUUGCCAGCACGUUAUGGUGGGGACUCAGUGGAGACCGCCGGGGUCAACUCGGAGGAAGGUGGGGAUGACGUCAAGUCAUCAUGCCCCUUAUGUCCAGGGCUUCACGCAUGCUACAAUGGCUGGUACAGAGAGUGGCGAGCCUGUGAGGGUGAGCGAAUCUCGGAAAGCCGGUCUCAGUUCGGAUUGGGGUCUGCAACUCGACCUCAUGAAGUCGGAGUCGCUAGUAAUCGCAGAUCAGCAACGCUGCGGUGAAUACGUUCCCGGG
RNAcentral lists this ribosomal RNA (1343 nucleotides) under uncultured bacterium. RNAcentral's name for it is "16S ribosomal RNA". It matches the Rfam family "Bacterial small subunit ribosomal RNA", at positions 28 to 1378 of the family's 1533-position model. The record is from RNAcentral.